This 896-nucleotide long non-coding RNA is filed under the name Ananas comosus (pineapple). RNAcentral describes it as "long non-coding RNA (ACOM_LNC027251)". Lineage: Eukaryota; Viridiplantae; Streptophyta; Magnoliopsida; Poales; Bromeliaceae. The record is from RNAcentral.
UUUUAUAAAAAUUUUUAAUUUAUCAGAUAAUUAUUUUAAAAUUUUAUUUGAACAACUAAUUAAAAAAAUACGGUGAAUCAUUUACUAGAAAUGAUUCUAUUUCUUUCUUUUAAAAAAAUAAUAAAUAAAAGAAUAACGAAAGUCGAUGAAUUAUUUAUUGUCUUUUAAAUUGUAUUGAGUUGGAUAAAUAAAAUUGGGUUAAUUGCAUACAUGUCCUUGCAAAUAUGGUGAAUUAUAAAUAUAUUCCUGUAAAACUCAACUUUCAUAAAUUAUUUCUGAAAAAGUUCUAAUAUAUUCAGAUAUAUUCCUGCCGUUAGGGUCCGUUAGAGCAAUUUCGUUAACCACAGUUAAAAUACUUAAUCAUGGUUAAUUAAUAAUGUGAAUUGACAAUUUAACUCUUUUUCUUCUUCCUCUUCCUCUCCUGCUUCUUCUUCUUCCUUUUUUUCUCCAUAUCCUCCUUUUCCUCCUCCUUUUCUCCUCCUUCUUCUUCUUCUUCUUCCUUAUUGUUAUCGUCGAUGAUCCGAUCGUCGUUGCCGUCGUGGUGCCUGCGUGGGCCGUCGUCACGGGCGCCUCCAACGGCAUUGGCCGUGCCUUCGCCUUCCGCCUCUUCAUCGUCCUCGUUAGUCGCAACCCCGAUGUUACGUACCUGACUCUACGCAACCCGUCAAUGAUAAUAAUUCGCUGAGACGAGGACGGCGUGAAGGAUGAUGGUCUAAUCAAAUCGGUAUCUCGACGAUUACCUGCCCAAAUACUCGUAGCUAGAUCAAGGAUAAGAGGGAGAGGAUGGGAUUGAGCAAGAAAGAAAGAUGAAGAGAGAGAUAGAUAGAUGAAGAUAUGGAGGCGAGAAGAGAGGAAGGAAGAAAAUGAUAAGAAAAAGCAGAGACUUAACAAUUUUC